UAAAGCCCACGGCUUAACCUUUGAAGGUCAUUUGAAACUUUCCAACUUGAAUGCAGAAGAGGUAAGUUGAAUUCCAUGUGUAGCGGUGAAAUGCGUAGAUAUAUGGAGGAACACCAGUGGCGAAGGCGACUUACUGGUCUGUGAUUGACGCUGAGGCUCGAAAGCGUGGGUAGCGAA
This 177-nucleotide ribosomal RNA is filed under the name uncultured bacterium. RNAcentral's name for it is "partial 16S ribosomal RNA". It matches the Rfam family "Bacterial small subunit ribosomal RNA", at positions 596 to 772 of the family's 1533-position model. The record is from RNAcentral.